UCGAAUUUAAAUCAUAAAAAAUAACUUUUUUUUUUUUUAAUUAACUUCAUAGUAUAACCUCAAAUGAUUUAUUUUGUUUCUAUUCUUCAGUUCAAAGUCUUUAUUUUCAUUGAAUCAUUCAAAAAUUUUGAAUACAUUUUACAUUAUGAGUGUGAUAUAGCAGACAUCAGACAAAUUUAAAAUUAUUAAUAAAUCGAGUAAAUCAUUAAUAAAAUAAAGGUAAUUGUUUAGAAGUGGGGCUAACCCAUGUUUAAAUUAGCACAAAUCCAAAAAUAAGCAAAUUGCCAAGAGACCUGUUUCAUUCUCUGGCAUUUUUUGGCGGAUUGACGAUAUAUUUGCUUAAAUUAAGUAUAAAAUAAGCGUCAAUAUUCGAGUGUUUGUAACAGGCUAUAAACAUGAUAUAUUUGAUAUCUUCUUUGAUAUUUUUCAAUGUUCCGUGCUACACUGCACUAUUUGACAUAAUUCUCUUAUUAUUGUAUGUGUUAAUGCUAAAGUUAACCAUCAAAAUUUAAGGUAUGUCACAAGCCAUAAUUUCUGUAGUUUCGUCCUAAGUACGUUAACGGACUCGUCAGUAAGGCUAUGUCAACGUACUCUUGCCUUAGACUACAUCUCUUACAAGUACGAGCCGGCGAAAAACUGUGUUGCGAGCUUCAGCCAGACACUAUACACGGAAAAAAAAUUCGACGAAAAAUUCCAAUAUUACUAUCGUAAUCCUGGACUAUACUUUUAUUAUCUGUAACAUUCAAAUAUAUGAUACGAAAAUUUACAGUUUUUAAAAGAUUUUUUACUAUUCACUAUCGUAAUUUCAUUAAGAGUUUAUUGUAAUCAAUUCAAUAAGAAAUAUUACAAUGUUACUAUCGUAAAUAGUAAAAGAAUAAAAAAUAAGAUUUAAUUAUACUAUUUAUUCUUUUAUUCUUCCUUUUAAUUUACAGUGCUGCCUCUAUGUUUUUACAAUACAAGCUACAAAAAUUACGAUAGUUGGAUUGUAAAUUUUCUGAAAUGGUAUAGUAUAUGCCAUCUGAAGCGUUUACGUAUGAAAGACAAGUGUUGUCACAAACCAUGAUGUGAUGCUUGUAUGAGUGUAUAUAUAUAUAUAUAAAUACAAAUGAUGACAUCUACUUUGUCUGUAUUAUUUGUGGUUCAACUAUAUAUAUUUAUAAAUCAGUUCAUCUUUAUCCACAGUGUAGUGCAGAAAUAGAGGUUAUUAUUCAUGACGUUUUUCGGACAAUUGUAAAUAAGAAAUUUAAAAUAAAAACUGUACUUUCGUCAUUACAAACCUACAUAGAUUGUGGAAUAUAAUAAUUUGGUGGUGAUAAUCUUCAUUUGUCGACAAUGAAUAAUUUUACCCGGCUUUGCGAGAGGUAAAACAUUUCAAUAACCUCAAAUUAUGGACAUUCAACAUUUCUUUAUGAUACUGAAGUUAGCAGACGCCUAAUAAUUUUUGGAUUUUUUUAAAAAUGAUAAAUUAUAGAAAAAAAGUAUUCGAAAAAAUUGCACCUAUGGUUUUUUUAAUUUUCUACAUGUGCGUAUUUUGAAUACAAAUAAAUGAGUUAUUUAUUCAUAAAUUUUAUAUAUACCAAAAAAAUAUGUUUGAAAAAAUAUUAAAUAAAUGUUUUAUUAUUACUACUUCAA
This is a long non-coding RNA of Microplitis mediator, 1632 nucleotides long. RefSeq lists it as uncharacterized. The record is from RefSeq and is a predicted model, not a curated record. NCBI's taxonomy places the organism in Eukaryota, Metazoa, Arthropoda, Insecta, Hymenoptera, Braconidae. The transcript is spliced from 2 exons.